AUACGGAGGGGGCUAGCGUUGUUCGGAAUUACUGGGCGUAAAGCGCACGUAGGCGGACUGAUCAGUUGGGGGAGAAAUCCCAGGGCUCAACCCUGGAACUGCCUCCAAUACUGUCAGUCUUGAGAUCGGAAGAGGUGAGUGGAAUUCCUAGUGUAGAGGUGAAAUUCGUAGAUAUUAGGAGGAACACCAGUGGCUAAGGCGGCUCACUGGUCCGAUACUGACGCUGAGUUGCGAAAGCGUGGGGAGCAAACAGGAUUAGAAACCCUAGUAGUCC
Molecule: ribosomal RNA, 274 nt
Filed under: uncultured bacterium
Lineage: Bacteria
Description: partial 16S ribosomal RNA
Rfam family: Bacterial small subunit ribosomal RNA
Source: RNAcentral